GGGUAGGUGGCGGAGUAGUCAAACGCAUCACUCUGUAAAAGUGACGGCCUCGUGCCUACGCAGGUGCAAAUCCUGCCCUGCCCA
This 84-nucleotide transfer RNA is filed under the name bacterium. Its description in RNAcentral is "tRNA-Tyr". It matches the Rfam family "tRNA". From Rfam's summary of the family: Transfer RNA (tRNA) molecules are approximately 80 nucleotides in length. Their secondary structure includes four short double-helical elements and three loops (D, anti-codon, and T loops). The record is from RNAcentral.